CAGCGUCGUCUUUAAAUCCUUAAUUCAACAGAAUCGUUCUGCGAUAAAUAGUUUGCUGUUAUUCUUUUUCUUGUACUAACUCAUUUGACAACUAGAUGUCGCCAUUCCUCUCCUGUUGGUUUCCCAGAGGCGCCUCGAAGCUCUCCUCGUUAUUGGACCUAAAUUGACGCAAACUGCCCAUCAGCUCAUACAGAACAACUUCCGGCUCGGUCACAUGUGCACUAUUGCAACAAUAAUGUGAAUUAGGUAAUGAAUUGAAGUCUGACCUCCAACAGGAUGAGGAAGAAGAGGAGGAAGCAGCAGCAGUACUUAUCCAGGUCUAUUUUGUUGCGCGGAGGUGGACGCUGCUUGGUUUUUGGAAACGUUCAGAGUUUGUGGCCCUUCCUCAGAAAACACCUGUAGAAAAUCUGUGUUCACUCUUCAAUGUUGCAGUGCACCGGACAUCCCCCUGGGAACUUGUCACAUUGUGUUGCAUGUGGAACUUGCCUUGGUCUUUAUUUAGCCUGGCAUAUCUCCACGUCACAAGAUCUCUGUCCAUAUGACCAAGGGCACGUUGCAGCUAUUGUCAAAGUGGUGAAAGGAGCCACUGUGUUGUGGGGACUGGAAGCUGGAUGGGUGGAAUUGGACAAAUGUACUUUUAAGUCAUCAGGGUCUGUGGUGGUUUCAGAGAGCUGUGAAGUUCAUGUCAAAGAGGAGCGUCUGCUGAGAUCUGUGUCCUGGAGCGAGGAUGGGAGGGCAGCUGUCGGUGCCAGAAGACCCGGAGCGAUCGCUGGAUGUGCUGUCGACAAUCAGUGAUGACAUCAUGCAUGGGGAAGAUGGUCCUCGGUGUGCUGCAGAAAUCGGAUCUGAACUCCAGAAACAGUUUGCCAUCCUGCCAG
Paralichthys olivaceus (Japanese flounder) is the source of this 878-nucleotide non-coding RNA. Lineage: Eukaryota; Metazoa; Chordata; Actinopteri; Pleuronectiformes; Paralichthyidae. The record is from RefSeq and is a predicted model, not a curated record.